GGGUGUGGGGGGGAUAUGAGGGGGGUUAUGGGGGUGUGGGGGGGCACAAUGGAAGGGGGCCAUUGGGGUGGCGACACCCAGAGCUGUGGGAGCCAACGUGCACCAUGGGGGUGGUGGGGACGGGGGGCCGCCCCACAGCCCUAUGGGGUGACCGACACCCCCCCCCUAAUUUGUACCCCGUAGGACCCCGAGGGCAAACCCAAGAAGGCGUCGAUCCGCGACAACGGGGACGGGACGUACACCGUGUCCUACGUGCCCGACACCACCGGCCGCUACACCAUCCUCAUCAAGUACGGCGGCGACGAGAUCCCCUACUCCCCGUACCGCAUCCGCGCCGUCCCCGCCGGCGACGCCAGCAAGUGCACCGUCACCGGCCCGGGGCUGGGCCCCACCAUCCAGCUGGGGGAGCAGACGCUGCUGACGGUGGACGCCAAGGCCGCGGGGCCGGGCAAGGUGACGUGUGCCGUGCGGGCGCCCGACGGCGCCGAGGCCGACGUGGACGUGGUGGAAAACGCCGACGGGACCUUCGACAUCUUUUACACCGCCCCCCAGCCAGGGAAGUACAUCAUCUGCGUGCGCUUCGGGGGGGAGCACGUCCCCAACAG
RNAcentral lists this long non-coding RNA (605 nucleotides) under Phasianus colchicus (ring-necked pheasant). RNAcentral's name for it is "lncRNA (ENSPCLG00000017069.1)". The record is from RNAcentral. Lineage: Eukaryota; Metazoa; Chordata; Aves; Galliformes; Phasianidae.